This is a non-coding RNA of Vicia faba (fava bean), 203 nucleotides long. The record is from the annotation of a GenBank genome assembly. NCBI's taxonomy places the organism in Eukaryota, Viridiplantae, Streptophyta, Magnoliopsida, Fabales, Fabaceae.
AUGUGCUACUACUAUCCCGAUGCAGCGAAGCUAGGUGGUGCUAUUAUGGCGGGGGAAGGGUCUACUUCUGCUCCAUCGGAAUGCUUUUGGUGGCAGUAUAUGAAUCUGCUGCGUCUUUUAUCUCUGGUGUUGGAUCACCUACUCACUACUGCGCUGCGACAAGGACUGGAACUGCCUCCGCGUUUGGACCUUUGAUUAAUUAA